GUCACUGUGUGUAUUAAUGUGUUACUGUGUGUAUGUGCCACUGUGUAUGUCACUGUGUGUAUCUGUGUCAGUGUGUAUCUGAGUGCAUGCGCCAGUGUGUGUAUCUGAUAGUAUGUGUCACUGUGUGUAUCUGAGUGUCACAGUGUGUUUGUAUUGGUGGGUUAAGGUGUGUGCCUGUGUGUGUUGCAGUGUAUGUGUCACUGUGUGUCAGUGCCAGGUUGUGUAUCUGUGUGUAUGUGCCAGUGUGUCUAUCUGUGGGUCAGUGUGUUUCUGAGUGUCAGUGUGUGUAUCUGUCGGUGUGCGUGUAUCUGUAUGUUAAGGUGUGUGUGUAUCCGAGUGUGUGUGUACGUAUCAGUGUGUUUGUCUGUGUACGUGUAUCUGUGUGUAUCUGUGUGCAUGUCACUGUGUGUAUCUGAGUUUGUGUAUGCACCAGUGUGUAUGUCUGUGUGUAUCUGCGCCAGUGUGUGUAUUUCUGUGUUUAUGAAUGUGUGUAUACGUGAAGUGUAUCUCUGUGUUAAUGUGUAUGUAUAUCUGUGUAAGUAUGUGGCAUACAACCCAGCAAACGCCAACACACCCCUGCAAACACAAACAUUACAUACAAAAACACCCCUGAAUUCAAACCCCAAAAUUAUAUACAAACACUCAAACACAUCCUUCACUCAAACACCAAUACUACACACAUGCAUUUAAAAGUCAACACUACAUCCAAAAAAACCUAAACGCAAAUGCAAUCAUUAUAUACAAAACACACCCCUGUAUUAAAAUGCUAAAAUUAUAUACAAACACCAACUCUACACACAAAGGCACACCUGCUCCCAAUUACUACAAACUGUUUACCAUCUGUGGAAAUUAGUGUGUGUGUAUAUAUAGUAAAAAAAAAAAAAAAUUUUGCUAAUUGAAAAGGUUUUGGGGGAAAGGGACAGGCAGAUAUUGCAGGUUCUGUGCAUUAUAUCCAACAAGUGUCGCUAUCUGACUUUUUAACGGUUUUGUUUUUGUAUUGGUUAUUAUUAUUAUUUUUUUUAUAACAAAUGGUAAAUGGCAAAAUAUCUGUUAAAUUUAAAUUUGCAAAUGAUAAAUAAAAACAAAUGUAAAAUCUGCUGGUAG
Molecule: non-coding RNA, 1104 nt
Organism: Pelobates cultripes (western spadefoot toad)
Lineage: Eukaryota; Metazoa; Chordata; Amphibia; Anura; Pelobatidae
Source: the annotation of a GenBank genome assembly